This is a long non-coding RNA of Ostrea edulis (European flat oyster), 217 nucleotides long. RefSeq lists it as uncharacterized. The transcript is spliced from 2 exons. Lineage: Eukaryota; Metazoa; Mollusca; Bivalvia; Ostreida; Ostreidae. The record is from RefSeq and is a predicted model, not a curated record.
GUAUUUCCGAAUGCAUGAACAUGUUACAGUGUGGUCCUGGAACUUAUUGUGACUUCAGAUAUGGUCAUAGAGGUUGUUGCAUAAGAAUGGUUGCUGGCGGUUGACACUGUGACAGUGGAUUGGCUACAGAUCAUCAGAAAAUGACGAUGUAACAUGAUUAGAUAUUUUGUUUAAUUUGUGAUGCUAGUCAUUUUCCUGUCUACAAUUAAAAUCUUCC